UACGUAGGGGGCUAGCGUUGUCCGGAAUCAUUGGGCGUAAAGAGCGCGUAGGCGGCCAGAUAAGUCCGGUGUGAAAGUCACAGGCUCAACCUGUGAAUGCCGCUGGAAACUGUCUGGCUAGAGUCCGGAAGGGGCGAGUGGAAUUCCUGGUGUAGCGGUGAAAUGCGCAGAUAUCAGGAGGAACACCGAUUGCGAAGGCAGCUCGCUGGGACGUCACUGACGCUGAGACGCGAAAGCGUGGGGAGCAAACAGG
This 253-nucleotide ribosomal RNA is filed under the name uncultured bacterium. RNAcentral describes it as "partial 16S ribosomal RNA". It matches the Rfam family "Bacterial small subunit ribosomal RNA", at positions 524 to 776 of the family's 1533-position model. The record is from RNAcentral.